This 462-nucleotide ribosomal RNA is filed under the name uncultured bacterium. Its description in RNAcentral is "partial 16S ribosomal RNA". It matches the Rfam family "Bacterial small subunit ribosomal RNA", at positions 28 to 507 of the family's 1533-position model. The record is from RNAcentral.
GAUCAACGCUGGCGGCGUGCUUAACACAUGCAAGUCGAACGAAGUUUUUCCUUCGGGAGCAACUUAGUGGCGGACGGGUGAGUAACGCGUGGGUAACCUGCCCUGUACAGGGGGACAACAGCUGGAAACGGCUGCUAAUACCGCAUAAGCACUUAGCACUGCAUGGUGCAUAGGGAAAAGGAGCAAUCCGGUACAGGAUGGACCCGCGUCUGAUUAGCCAGUUGGCAGGGUAACGGCCUACCAAAGCGACGAUCAGUAGCCGAUCUGAGAGGAUGUGCGGCCACAUUGGGACUGAGACACGGCCCAGACUCCUACGGGAGGCAGCAGUGGGGAAUAUUGCACAAUGGAGGAAACUCUGAUGCAGCGACGCCGCGUGAGUGAAGAAGUAUUUCGGUAUGUAAAGCUCUAUCAGCAGGGAAGAAAAUGACGGUACCUGACUAAGAAGCACCGGCUAAAUACGUG